This 454-nucleotide ribosomal RNA is filed under the name uncultured bacterium. RNAcentral's name for it is "partial 16S ribosomal RNA". It matches the Rfam family "Bacterial small subunit ribosomal RNA", at positions 28 to 507 of the family's 1533-position model. The record is from RNAcentral.
GAUGAACGCUGACAGGAUGCUUAACACAUGCAAGUCUACUUGAACUUCGGUUUGGGUGGCGGACGGGUGAGUAACGCGUAAAGAACUUGCCUCACAGUUAGGGACAACAUUUGGAAACGAAUGCUAAUACCUGAUAUUAUGAUUUUAGGGCAUCCUAGGAUUAUGAAAGCUAUAUGUGCUGUGAGAGAGCUUUGCGUCCCAUUAGCUAGUUGGAGAGGUAACGGCUCACCAAGGCGAUGAUGGGUAGCCGGCCUGAGAGGGUGAACGGCCACAAGGGGACUGAGACACGGCCCUUACUCCUACGGGAGGCAGCAGUGGGGAAUAUUGGACAAUGGACCAAAAGUCUGAUCCAGCAAUUCUGUGUGCACGAUGACGUUUUUCGGAAUGUAAAGUGCUUUCAGUUGGGAAGAAAAAAAUGACGGUACCAACAGAAGAAGUGACGGCUAAAUACGUG